GAUGAACGCUGGCGGCGUGCCUAAUACAUGCAAGUCGAGCGAACGGACGAGAAGCUUGCUUCUCUGAUGUUAGCGGCGGACGGGUGAGUAACACGUGGAUAACCUACCUAUAAGACUGGGAUAACUUCGGGAAACCGGAGCUAAUACCGGAUGAUAUUUUGAACCGCAUGGUUCAAAAGUGAAAGACGGUCUUGCUGUCACUUAUAGAUGGAUCCGCGCUGCAUUAGCUAGUUGGUAAGGUAACGGCUUACCAAGGCAACGAUGCAUAGCCGACCUGAGAGGGUGAUCGGCCACACUGGAACUGAGACACGGUCCAGACUCCUACGGGAGGCAGCAGUAGGGAAUCUUCCGCAAUGGGCGAAAGCCUGACGGAGCAACGCCGCGUGAGUGAUGAAGGUCUUCGGAUCGUAAAACUCUGUUAUUAGGGAAGAACAUAUGUGUAAGUAACUGUGCACAUCUUGAAGGUACCUAAUCAGAAAGCCACGGCUAACUACGUG
This 497-nucleotide ribosomal RNA is filed under the name uncultured bacterium. RNAcentral's name for it is "partial 16S ribosomal RNA". It matches the Rfam family "Bacterial small subunit ribosomal RNA", at positions 28 to 507 of the family's 1533-position model. The record is from RNAcentral.